UGGUGACUAUAGCAAGGAGGUCACACCUGUUCCCAUGCCGAACACAGAAGUUAAGCUCCUUAGCGUCGAUGGUAGUCGA
Molecule: ribosomal RNA, 79 nt
Filed under: Staphylococcus aureus
Lineage: Bacteria; Bacillati; Bacillota; Bacilli; Caryophanales; Staphylococcaceae
Also listed under: 1 other name
Source: RNAcentral